RNAcentral lists this ribosomal RNA (557 nucleotides) under uncultured bacterium. RNAcentral's name for it is "bacterial SSU rRNA". It matches the Rfam family "Bacterial small subunit ribosomal RNA", at positions 102 to 694 of the family's 1533-position model. The record is from RNAcentral.
ACGGGUGAGUAACGCGUGGGAACAUACCCUUUUCUACGGAAUAGCUCUGGGAAACUGGAAUUAAUACCGUAUACGCCCUACGGGGGAAAGAUUUAUCGGGGAAGGAUUGGCCCGCGUUGGAUUAGCUAGUUGGUGGGGUAAAGGCCUACCAAGGCGACGAUCCAUAGCUGGUCUGAGAGGAUGAUCAGCCACAUUGGGACUGAGACACGGCCCAAACUCCUACGGGAGGCAGCAGUGGGGAAUAUUGGACAAUGGGCGCAAGCCUGAUCCAGUCAUGCCGCGUGAGUGAUGAAGGCCUUAGGGUUGUAAAGCUCUUUCACCGAUGAAAAUAAUGACGGUAGUCGGAGAAGAAGCCCCGGCUAACUUCGUGCCAGCAGCCGCGGUAAUACGAAGGGGGCUAGCGUUGUUCGGAAUUACUGGGCGUAAAGCGCACGUAGGCGGAUAUUUAAGUCAGGGGUGAAAUCCCAGAGCUCAACUCUGGAACUGCCUUUGAUACUGGGUAUCUUGAGUAUGGAAGAGGUAAGUGGAAUUGCGAGUGUAGAGGUGAAAUUCGUAGA